AUUCUCCUGGAUUGUUGAAAACUUGCAUAUUCAUCGAUAUUUGAUUUUGUGGUUUUAACAAUCCAGACAGACAAAUAGCAAUAAGGUGUUUAGGAAAACAUGACCUAAAACCUCCUUCAUAUAAGACAAAAAUACAUGGGAACUCAUACUGAAUGGUCAAAUGUGUUCAAUAUGAAAAUUGCAGUUAAGAUGGUAAAAUCACAAAUCAGCCGUUACUGUAAAUGGACUAAAAGUAUGACUUUUGAGCAAAUUUAAAGGGAAAUGACAGGGAAGGGGCCAAAUAGUGUUCAAGGGGAGCAAAUGCCCUUUAAUUUGGUAUGCAGGUUUCAAAAAUAGAGGGAGAAUUAGAGG
RNAcentral lists this long non-coding RNA (351 nucleotides) under Mytilus galloprovincialis (Mediterranean mussel). The record is from RNAcentral. Lineage: Eukaryota; Metazoa; Mollusca; Bivalvia; Mytilida; Mytilidae.